Molecule: non-coding RNA, 74 nt
Organism: Kryptolebias marmoratus (mangrove rivulus)
Lineage: Eukaryota; Metazoa; Chordata; Actinopteri; Cyprinodontiformes; Rivulidae
Source: Ensembl
CGCCAAGAAGCUAAACAGGCCUCAGCAUUAGCCUUUUAAGCUAAAAAUUGGUGACUGCCGCCCACCCUUGGCGA